This 497-nucleotide ribosomal RNA is filed under the name uncultured bacterium. Its description in RNAcentral is "partial 16S ribosomal RNA". It matches the Rfam family "Bacterial small subunit ribosomal RNA", at positions 28 to 507 of the family's 1533-position model. The record is from RNAcentral.
GAUGAACGCUGGCGGCGUGCCUAAUACAUGCAAGUCGAGCGAACGGACGAGGAGCUUGCUUCUCUGAUGUUAGCGGCGGACGGGUGAGUAACACGUGGAUAACCUACCUAUAAGACUGGGAUAACUUCGGGAAACCGGAGCUAAUACCGGAUAAUAUUUUGAACCGCAUGGUUCAAAAGUGAAAGACGGUCUUGCUGUCACUUAUAGAUGGAUCCGCGCUGCAUUAGCUAGUUGGUAAGGUAACGGCUUACCAAGGCAACGAUGCAUAGCCGACCUGAGAGGGUGAUCGGCCACACUGGAACUGAGACACGGUCCAGACUCCUACGGGAGGCAGCAGUAGGGAAUCUUCCGCAAUGGGCGAAAGCCUGACGGAGCAACGCCGCGUGAGUGAUGAAGGUCCUCGGAUCGUAAAACUCUGUUAUUAGGGAAGAACAUAUGUGUAAGUAACUGUGCACAUCUUGACGGUACCUAAUCAGAAAGCCACGGCUAACUACGUG